GGAAUUGUGCCCGAAUGCUUAAGGGCCACUUUGAUAGAGUGAACUAUGAGGGUUCAAGUCCCUCCGAUUCCU
Molecule: transfer RNA, 72 nt
Filed under: Astronesthes nigroides
Lineage: Eukaryota; Metazoa; Chordata; Actinopteri; Stomiiformes; Stomiidae
Also listed under: 1 other name
Description: tRNA-Ile
Rfam family: tRNA
About the family: Transfer RNA (tRNA) molecules are approximately 80 nucleotides in length.
Source: RNAcentral